Helicoverpa armigera (cotton bollworm) is the source of this 822-nucleotide long non-coding RNA. RefSeq lists it as uncharacterized. The transcript is spliced from 3 exons. The record is from RefSeq and is a predicted model, not a curated record. NCBI's taxonomy places the organism in Eukaryota, Metazoa, Arthropoda, Insecta, Lepidoptera, Noctuidae.
UAAUCAUCCAGUGAGCAAUACGCACUUGAGCAUUUUAGUAUAUAAUAUACGCCAAUACUGAUAAAAUCAGAACAAUCGCUAUUGAUUAUACGGUCCAAACAUUUCGAUUUACAUCUCUGCUUUAUAACAUUUAUAUUGGCUGGUGCUACGAGAUUAUGCUGAUAAUUUAGAAGAGUGUGAACAGAACACCAAGCUCAGUGCUUUAUUCACUUCAUUCACGGCAGCGUGCGGACGCAGGAUUGUAACGUCGAUAAAGACAAAGUGCAUUGUUCCUAAAUGGCUUUCCUAAUUGUAGCUGGAGUGUUGCUCGUAAUAAAUACAGUGUUUUUGGUUGGAUCUUUAAUCUAUACGCUGAAGACUACUACGGGAAAGGUUGAUCCCGUGGCGCCUUCUCGGAUGGACCCGCGCUUGAGUCUGCAACCACAGGAGCUAUUGUACCAAGCCAUCGUGCGCAUGAGUGCAAACCCAGUUCCCGAUAUCGACAAGCUAGACAGCCAGACAAAGCAAGCUUCGUAAACGACCACCAAACUGUGUACCUAUACCGUAUAUAAAUAUGCAAGCCAGACCAAGCCGAAGAACAAGUCUAUGUUCAUCGCGUGGAAGGAGAUCCCGCGCUUCUUUCUACCGAAGUCGAUCUACUGCCCCAGCACAAACACUAAAGAAUUCACCAACAAAUCCUGAACUAAACACAUCUAUAUCUUUUAGAUAUUAAUGAAGGUUUCCCAUACCAAACUGUGAUGGCAUUAGACAAAUAAAAAUUGUGAUUGUUCCUAUUCUGUGUCUUACGAUAUUAUGUUUUGCAAUAAAGAUUAAUUAAAAACA